This 417-nucleotide unclassified non-coding RNA is filed under the name Dickeya sp. 16-12-3W. Its description in RNAcentral is "partial contains 16S-23S ribosomal RNA intergenic spacer and 23S ribosomal RNA". The stretch from base 67 to 139 matches the Rfam family "tRNA". RNAcentral also lists the same sequence under 5 other names. The record is from RNAcentral. Lineage: Bacteria; Pseudomonadati; Pseudomonadota; Gammaproteobacteria; Enterobacterales; Pectobacteriaceae.
GGUGUCCACACAGAUUGUCUGAUGAUAAGAAAGAGUCAAAAGCGUCUUGCGAAGCUGACAAGUGAUGUCCCCUUCGUCUAGAGGCCCAGGACACCGCCCUUUCACGGCGGUAACAGGGGUUCGAAUCCCCUAGGGGACGCCAAUGACUGACAGUGGGUGAAAGGCACGGUCAACGCUAACCUAAAACUGAUUAGAGAUAGUCAGGUUUAUGUUAUCUGCUCUUUAACAAUCCGGAACAAGCUGAAUAAUUUGAAACGACAGCAUGUGAGUGUAAAUUCAUGUGUUGUUGGAGUCUCUCAAAAUACUCAUAUCCCGAGACACUUUCGGGUUGUGAGGUUAAGCGACUAAGCGUACACGGUGGAUGCCUAGGCAGUCAGAGGCGAUGAAGGGCGUGCUAAUCUGCGAAAAGCGUCGGCA